UACGUAGGGUGCGAGCGUUGUCCGGAAUCAUUGGGCGUAAAGAGCUUGUAGGCGGUUUGUCGCGUCUGCUGUGAAAAUCCGGGGCUCAACCCCGGACUUGCAGUGGGUACGGGCAGACUAGAGUGUGGUAGGGGAGACUGGAAUUCCUGGUGUAGCGGUGGAAUGCGCAGAUAUCAGGAGGAACACCGAUGGCGAAGGCAGGUCUCUGGGCCGCAACUGACGCUGAGGAGCGAAAGCAUGGGGAGCGAACAGG
This 253-nucleotide ribosomal RNA is filed under the name uncultured bacterium. Its description in RNAcentral is "partial 16S ribosomal RNA". It matches the Rfam family "Bacterial small subunit ribosomal RNA", at positions 524 to 776 of the family's 1533-position model. The record is from RNAcentral.